This 491-nucleotide ribosomal RNA is filed under the name uncultured bacterium. Its description in RNAcentral is "partial 16S ribosomal RNA". It matches the Rfam family "Bacterial small subunit ribosomal RNA", at positions 30 to 508 of the family's 1533-position model. The record is from RNAcentral.
AUUGAACGCUGGCGGCAGGCCUAACACAUGCAAGUCGAACGGUAACAGGAAGAAGCUUGCUUCUUUGCUGACGAGUGGCGGACGGGUGAGUAAUGUCUGGGAAACUGCCUGAUGGAGGGGGAUAACUACUGGAAACGGUAGCUAAUACCGCAUAACGUCGCAAGACCAAAAAGGGGGACCUUCGGGCCUCUUGCCAUCGGAUGUGCCCAGAUGGGAUUAGCUAGUAGGUGGGGUAACGGCUCACCUAGGCGACGAUCCCUAGCUGGUCUGAGAGGAUGACCAGCCACACUGGAACUGAGACACGGUCCAGACUCCUACGGGAGGCAGCAGUGGGGAAUAUUGCACAAUGGGCGCAAGCCUGAUGCAGCCAUGCCGCGUGUAUGAAGAAGGCCUUCGGGUUGUAAAGUACUUUCAGCGGGGAGGAAGGGAGUAAAGUUAAUGCCUUUGCUCAUUGACGUUACCCGCAGAAGAAGCACCGGCUAACUCCGUGC